GAGGGCUGUCGCUGACUUUUCGUCGGUGCACGCCCAAGUGCUCUCAACCAUCCAUCUCACCCUAUGUGCACCACCGCGUGGGUUCCCUUUUGGCUCCUCCCGAAGGGGGCUCCCGUUUUCCCACAACCUCMAUACSGUGGAAAAAGGCUCUUUGGCAUAACACCCCAUUAAUACAACUUUCAACAACGGAUCUCUUGGCUCUCGCAUCMAURAAGAACGCACCGAAAUGGCAAUACGUAUGGGAAUUGCAGAAUUCAGUGGAUCCUCCAAUCUUUGAACCCCCCUUGGCCCCCUUGGCAUUCCGAAGGGCACACCCGUUUGGAUGGCCGGGAAUUCCCAAAAACCUUUCCUUUAAUAAAGGGUUUUGGAAUUGGAAGCUUUUUGGUGGCUUCCCUCCAAACGAGSUUCUCCUAAUGAAUUAAUGGGUCUGGCUUUGCCAUCCUGAACGUGAUAAGAUGUUACUACGCUCGGGUUCGGGAAUGGCCCC
This 487-nucleotide unclassified non-coding RNA is filed under the name uncultured fungus. Its description in RNAcentral is "partial contains ITS1, 5.8S rRNA and ITS2". The stretch from base 175 to 328 matches the Rfam family "5.8S ribosomal RNA". Lineage: Eukaryota; Fungi. The record is from RNAcentral.